RNAcentral lists this long non-coding RNA (317 nucleotides) under Cricetulus griseus (Chinese hamster). RNAcentral's name for it is "lncRNA (ENSCGRG00015035908.1)". Lineage: Eukaryota; Metazoa; Chordata; Mammalia; Rodentia; Cricetidae. The record is from RNAcentral.
CUGGAAUAGAAUUUAUUGAUGAAUCAUGCCUGGAAAUAGUUUCUAGUCGUAUCGUUAGCAAAUUGCUUUUUUCUCUGUUACAGCAAUAUUUCAGGUCUAUUCAUUGAUUGAGUAAUACUGAGCUCUUUGAAAUGUCAGAAUCUGCUAAGGCACACCCAUGAAUGGAAAUGCAAUUCUGCCACCAUGGAGCUCCAAGCAGUGUGAUCUAGAAUCACUACAGAAACACACAGUGUUUGCAGAAGCUUAAACUGAAGACAAGAAACACUCCCUAAACAUGGGCAGACCAUUCUACCAGCUGGAGCCCUGGCGUUCAUCUC